This 505-nucleotide ribosomal RNA is filed under the name uncultured Desulfobulbus sp. Its description in RNAcentral is "bacterial SSU rRNA". It matches the Rfam family "Bacterial small subunit ribosomal RNA", at positions 903 to 1382 of the family's 1533-position model. The record is from RNAcentral. Lineage: Bacteria; Pseudomonadati; Thermodesulfobacteriota; Desulfobulbia; Desulfobulbales; Desulfobulbaceae.
CGCCUUGCCAGCCCGCUCAGAAACUCAAAGGAAUUGACGGGGGCCCGCACAAGCGGCGGAGCAUGUGGAUUUAAUUCGAUGCAACGCGAAGAACCUUACCUGGGCUUGACAUACACCGGAUCGGGCUAGGGAUAGUCUUUCCCUUGUGGCUGGUGUACAGGUGGUGCAUGGUUGUCGUCAGCUCGUGUCGUGAGAUGUUGGGUUAAGUCCCAUAACGAGCGCAACCCCUACCUUUAGUUGCCAUCAGGUAAUGCUGGGGACUCUAAAGGAACUGCCUACGCAAGUAGUGAGGAAGGCGGGGAUGACGUCAAGUCAGCAUGGCCCUUACGUCCGGGGCUACACACGUGCUACAAUGGCCGGUACAAAGGGUAGCGACACUGCGAGGUGAAGCCAAUCCCGUAAAAUCGGUCUCAGUCCGGAUUGGAGUCUGCAACUCGACUCCAUGAAGUUGGAAUCGCUAGUAAUCGUGGAUCAGCAUGCCACGGUGAAUACGUUCCCGGGCCUU